Molecule: ribosomal RNA, 253 nt
Filed under: uncultured bacterium
Lineage: Bacteria
Description: partial 16S ribosomal RNA
Rfam family: Bacterial small subunit ribosomal RNA
Source: RNAcentral
UACAGAGGGGGCAAGCGUUGUUCGGAAUUACUGGGCGUAAAGGGCGCGUAGGCGGCCUGCUAAGUCGAACGUGAAAUCCCUGGGCUCAACCCAGGAACUGCGUCCGAUACUGGUUGGCUUGAAUCCGGGAGAGGGACGUGGAAUUCCAGGUGUAGCGGUGAAAUGCGUAGAUAUCUGGAGGAACACCGGUGGCGAAGGCGGCAUCCUGGACCAUUACUGACGCUGAAUCGCGAAAGCUAGGGGAGCAAACGGG